This is a long non-coding RNA of Pomacea canaliculata, 218 nucleotides long. RefSeq lists it as uncharacterized. The record is from RefSeq and is a predicted model, not a curated record. Lineage: Eukaryota; Metazoa; Mollusca; Gastropoda; Architaenioglossa; Ampullariidae. The transcript is spliced from 3 exons.
UUUGAGCGAGCAAACCAUUUUCUCUAAAUUCCUCAGUAGAAGUAAGGAUCGAGGCAUUCAACAUCAGCAUGCAGGGACGCUUGGUGGUCGUUGUGGCUGCUCUGGUGGUGAUGUGUCAGCUGACCACGUCCCUUGCCACGUCGCCAGACGCGGAUACUAUGAAGCCGAGUCUGUUUGGUGUGCUGACUAAAGGAGAGACGAACUCUGUCGCCCGCUCA